Molecule: transfer RNA, 73 nt
Filed under: Felis catus (domestic cat)
Lineage: Eukaryota; Metazoa; Chordata; Mammalia; Carnivora; Felidae
Also listed under: 1 other name
Rfam family: tRNA
About the family: Transfer RNA (tRNA) molecules are approximately 80 nucleotides in length. Their secondary structure includes four short double-helical elements and three loops (D, anti-codon, and T loops). Further hydrogen bonds mediate the characteristic L-shaped molecular structure. tRNAs have two regions of fundamental functional importance: the anti-codon, which is responsible for specific mRNA codon recognition, and the 3' end, to which the tRNAs corresponding amino acid is attached (by aminoacyl-tRNA synthetases). tRNAs cope with the degeneracy of the genetic code in two manners: having more than one tRNA (with a specific anti-codon) for a particular amino acid; and 'wobble' base-pairing, i.e. permitting non-standard base-pairing at the 3rd anti-codon position.
Source: Rfam by way of RNAcentral
ACACGGCUUGCUCAGUUGGUGGAGCAUGAGACUCUUGAUCUCAGGAUCAUGAGUUUGAGCCCCAUGCUGGGUG